AUGGUUGUGGCCCUGGAGGAGCUACAGAAAGAUCUAGAAGAAGUAAAGGAAUUGCUGGAAAAGGCCACUAGGAAAAGAGUAUGUGAUGCCCUCAUAGCUGAAAAAUCCAGGAUUGAGACAGAAAUCAAGAACAAGGUGCAACAGAAAUCACAGAAGAAAACAGAAGUCCUUGACAAUGAAAAAUCAGCUGCCGUGGUCACUCCCAUUACAACAGGAUACACAGUGAAAAUCAGUAAUCAUGGGUGGGAUCAAUCAGAUAAGUUUGUGAAAAUUUAUAUCACCCUAACUGGAGUUCAUCGGGCUCCUACUGAGAAUGUACAGGAGCAUUUCACUGAGAGGUCAUUUGGUCUUCUGGUAAAGAAUCUCAAUGGGAAGAGUUAUUUCACGAUUGUGAGCAAUCUCCUGAAGCCUAUCUCUGUGGAGGGCAGUUCCAAAACAGUCAAGAUAUACCGUUCUUAUCUUAUGUAGAGAGAAAGCAGAAAACACUAGGUGGGACUACCUGACUCAGGUUGAAAAAGAGUGCAAAGAAAAAGAAAAGCCUUCAUAUGACACUGAAACAGAUACUAGUGAGGGGCUCAUGAAUGUUCUAAAGAAAAUUUAUGAAGAUGGAGAUGAUGACAUGAAGCGAACCAUUAAUAAAGCCUGGGUGGAGUUGAAAGAGAAGCAAGCCAAAGGAGAUGCAGAAUUUUGA
Carlito syrichta (Philippine tarsier) is the source of this 691-nucleotide RNA transcript. It is a transcript of the gene named calcyclin-binding protein pseudogene, with no coding region annotated. The transcript has a single exon. The record is from RefSeq and is a predicted model, not a curated record. Lineage: Eukaryota; Metazoa; Chordata; Mammalia; Primates; Tarsiidae.